RNAcentral lists this ribosomal RNA (472 nucleotides) under uncultured bacterium. Its description in RNAcentral is "SSU rRNA". It matches the Rfam family "Bacterial small subunit ribosomal RNA", at positions 26 to 518 of the family's 1533-position model. The record is from RNAcentral.
AGGACGAACGCUGGCGGCGUGCUUAACACAUGCAAGUCGAGCGGAAAGGCCCUUCGGGGUACUCGAGCGGCGAACGGGUGAGUAACACGUGAGUAAUCUGCCCCUAGCUCUGGGAUAGCUCCGGGAAACCAGGAUUAAUACCGGAUACGACCACCUUAGACAUCUUUUGUGGUGGAAAGAAUUUCGGCUAGGGAUGAGCUCGCGGCCUAUCAGCUUGUUGGUGGGGUAACGCCUACCAAGGCGACGACGGGUAGCCGGCCUGAGAGGGCGACCGGCCACACUGGGACUGAGACACGGCCCAGACUCCUACGGGAGGCAGCAGUGGGGAAUAUUGCGCAAUGGGCGAAAGCCUGACGCAGCGACGCCGCGUGGGGGAUGAAGGCCUUCGGGUUGUAAACCCUUUCAGCAGGGACGAAGCGAAAGUGACGGUACCUGCAGAAGAAGCGCCGGCUAACUACGUGCCAGCAGCCGC